Molecule: ribosomal RNA, 244 nt
Filed under: uncultured bacterium
Lineage: Bacteria
Description: partial 16S ribosomal RNA
Rfam family: Bacterial small subunit ribosomal RNA
Source: RNAcentral
UAACGCGUGAGGAACCUGCCUUCCAGAGGGGGACAACAGUUGGAAACGACUGCUAAUACCGCAUGACACAUGACCGUGGCAUCACGGACAUGUCAAAGAUUUAUUCGCUGGAAGAUGGCCUCGCGUCUGAUUAGCUGGUAGGCGGGGUAACGGCCCACCUAGGCGACGAUCAGUAGCCGGACUGAGAGGUUGACCGGCCACAUUGGGACUGAGAUACGGCCCAGACUCCUACGGGAGGCAGCAG